This 253-nucleotide ribosomal RNA is filed under the name uncultured bacterium. RNAcentral describes it as "partial 16S ribosomal RNA". It matches the Rfam family "Bacterial small subunit ribosomal RNA", at positions 524 to 776 of the family's 1533-position model. The record is from RNAcentral.
UACGUAGGGUGCGAGCGUUGUCCGGAAUUAUUGGGCGUAAAGGGCUCGUAGGCGGUUUGUCGCGUCGGGAGUGAAAUCCAUGGGCUUAACUUAUGGCUUGCUUUCGAUACGGGCAGACUAGAGGUAUGCAGGGGAGAACGGAAUUCCUGGUGUAGCGGUGAAAUGCGCAGAUAUCAGGAGGAACACCGGUGGCGAAGGCGGUUCUCUGGGCAUGAUCUGACGCUGAGGAGCGAAAGUGUGGGGAGCGAACAGG